This 430-nucleotide ribosomal RNA is filed under the name uncultured bacterium. Its description in RNAcentral is "partial 16S ribosomal RNA". It matches the Rfam family "Bacterial small subunit ribosomal RNA", at positions 29 to 507 of the family's 1533-position model. The record is from RNAcentral.
AGCGAACGCUGGCGGCAGGCUUAACACAUGCAAGUCGAGCGCCCCGCAAGGGGAGCGGCAGACGGGAGAGUAACACGUGGGAACAUACCUUUUGGUUCGGAACAACUGAGGGACACUUCAGCUAAUACCGGAUAAGCCCUUACGGGGAAAGAUUUAUCGCCGAAAGAUUGGCCCGCGUCUGAUUAGCUAGUUGGUGAGGUAACGGCUCACCAAGGCGACGAUCAGUAGCUGGUCUGAGAGGAUGAUCAGCCUCACUGGGACUGAGACACGGCCCAGACUCCUACGGAAGGAAGAAGGGGGGAAAAUGGAAAAAGGGGGCAACCCUGAUCCAGCCAUGCCGCGUGAGUGAUGAAGGCCUUAGGGUUGUAAAGCUCUUUUGCCCGGGAAGAUAAUGACGGUACCGGGAGAAUAAGCCCCGGCUAACUUCGUG